UGAAGACCUUUUUUAUAUGAUGGACGUGGAAAGCUUGUUGGGUGUUAAUGUGUAGCCCGUGACAUGCAUCUCACCAAGCUACUGUUUGCUUUUUUUUUUUUUAUUUGCUGGGUCGUGGCAUAUGCUCUACUAAACGUUGAGUCCAAUAAUCAACACAUCUUCUUUUUGAAGCUCUACGUUGCAGCCCACACCAUGUGCUUCAUAAAUGAAAUAAUUGAAUUUCACAUGUUGUUGUAGCUUGCUAGACUCAUUCUGCUGUAGCAUUUUCAUUGUGUGGGUCGUGUGUGUUGUUGGAGGUGGGACGCUCCUGG
This 311-nucleotide long non-coding RNA is filed under the name Vigna radiata. RNAcentral describes it as "long non-coding RNA (VRAD_LNC008491)". Lineage: Eukaryota; Viridiplantae; Streptophyta; Magnoliopsida; Fabales; Fabaceae. The record is from RNAcentral.